GUCAUAUCACGUUGAAUUGCUGGUUCUCUUACGAUCGCUGAAGUUAAGCAACGUCGAGCCGAGACAGUAUCUAGAUGGGUGACCGUUUGAGAAUACCGGGUGGUGUAAG
Molecule: non-coding RNA, 109 nt
Organism: Acanthosepion pharaonis
Lineage: Eukaryota; Metazoa; Mollusca; Cephalopoda; Sepiida; Sepiidae
Source: the annotation of a GenBank genome assembly